This 46-nucleotide small RNA is filed under the name Caenorhabditis elegans. RNAcentral describes it as "Unclassified non-coding RNA Y77E11A.19". Lineage: Eukaryota; Metazoa; Nematoda; Chromadorea; Rhabditida; Rhabditidae. The record is from RNAcentral.
AAAAAGUUUCAAAAUUUUCGAAAAAAAUUUUUUUUUUUGAAAUUUU